This 27-nucleotide non-coding RNA is filed under the name Bombyx mori (domestic silkworm). The record is from RNAcentral. Lineage: Eukaryota; Metazoa; Arthropoda; Insecta; Lepidoptera; Bombycidae.
UAGAAUUCUUUGAAAUAUAGCUGGCGA